This 253-nucleotide ribosomal RNA is filed under the name uncultured bacterium. RNAcentral's name for it is "partial 16S ribosomal RNA". It matches the Rfam family "Bacterial small subunit ribosomal RNA", at positions 524 to 776 of the family's 1533-position model. The record is from RNAcentral.
UACGAGGGGGGCUAGCGUUGCUCGGAAUCACUGGGCGUAAAGGGUGCGUAGGCGGGUCUUUAAGUCCCCCGUUAAAUCCAGCUGCUCAACAGAUGGGCCGCGGAGGAUACUACAGAGCUAGGAGGCAGGAGAGGCAAGCGGUACUCAGUGGGUAGGGGUAAAAUCCGUUGAUCCAUUGAAGACCACCAGUGGCGAAGGCGGCUUGCCAGAAUGCGCUCGACGGUGAGGGAUGAAAGCUGGGGGAGCAAACCGG